GGGGACGUAACAAAGCGACCCAGGAAUGCUUGGGCGUGCCUCCACCCACGCCGGCGUCGGCGGGCGUAUUUCGCCUCACAGUAGGUCGCCGCGACCCGUUGCUUUUGGGGACGUCGAAGGCCCGGACGGAUUGGUACCCUACCGGCUGGGGAUGCGGCUUCGGCUUCUCCUCUUGUCCGGUGGGCGAAACCGCCGGUGUCCUGGCUGCCCUGCGACGGUCGUAGAGACGAGCCCUCCCCAUUCGUGGGGGGCGGCUCUCGCGGCGUGCAAAAGGUCGGUGAUCCACCCGACCCGUCUUGAAACACGGACCAAGGAGUCUAACAUGUGUGCGAGUCAGUGGGCGCACUAAACCCAGAGGCGUAAUGAAAGUGACACGGGUUCGGCUGUCGCCUCGUGUGGCAGCCGGACUCAGGGCCGAUCCCUCACCGGUUGCCCUCGCCUCUCUCCCGCGUCUCGGUACGCCGGGUGAGCUAUUUUCCCCGGCCAAUGCUGCGGCUCGGGGGGUGGCGGGGUGCGAUGGUGUCCGUAAAAAAGAGCCUGCUGUUGCAGGGGGGCGCAGGCCCGGGACUUGCCAGGACGCCGCGAGACUGUCACUUUGCUGUGAGGCUCCAGGGCCGAUCAGCGGGUCAUGCGUGCAGUCGGCAAGUACCAUGAGCAGACAUGUUGGGACCCGAAAGAUGGUGAACUAUGCCUGGCCAGGAUGAAGCCAGAGGAAACUCUGGUGGAGGUCCGUAGCGAUUCUGACGUGCAAAUCGAUCGUCGGAGCUGGGUAUAGGGGCGA
RNAcentral lists this ribosomal RNA (781 nucleotides) under Lacunicambarus miltus. RNAcentral's name for it is "eukaryotic LSU rRNA". The stretch from base 308 to 781 matches the Rfam family "Eukaryotic large subunit ribosomal RNA", at positions 665 to 926 of the family's 3401-position model. The record is from RNAcentral. Lineage: Eukaryota; Metazoa; Arthropoda; Malacostraca; Decapoda; Cambaridae.